This 800-nucleotide long non-coding RNA is filed under the name Marmota monax (woodchuck). The record is from RNAcentral. Lineage: Eukaryota; Metazoa; Chordata; Mammalia; Rodentia; Sciuridae.
AAAAUAGUAUUUUAAAAGGAGUUUAUCAAAAUAAGUCAGAUAAAAGUAUUUAAUUAUAUUUUUAUUACAUAACAAACAAUCAAGCUCUACCAAGAAAUUCAAUACAUCACCAGUACUGCUUAACUUCAGGGAAAUCAAGUCACCUGGGAGAAAAAACACAAAUUUAUUAAUCUCAACUAUUUUUUUAAUAGAGUGAGAAAAUCAAAAUUUCAAAGGACAUGUUUUUGAAACAACUUAUCACUAAUGAAAGAAUUAGUAUGAAUCAAGUGUAUUUUGAAAAGCCAAUAUAACCUGAAAUGUAAGCAACAAGCACACAAGGAAGAGAAAAAGACCUAAAUAAAAAGUGUAUACAAAUGUUAACCUUUUAACAAGUAAGACAAAAACAAUAAAAAACAAAAACACACAAAUAUGUUAUACAGGAUGGUGACGGAAGUGUGGGCAAGUAAAUUGUGAAAUGACAUAACUUUUUAACCAAAAAUAAACAAUAUGUUUUGUGGACGCAUGAAUAAACACUUUAUACAUAAAAAUCAUUUGUGGCAUGAACACAAAUUUAAAUAAUCAGGUAUAGUGCAAAAGCUAUGAAAAGAUUAUCUGUAGAACAACGAAUUAUCAAGAGAAUUAACAAGUAGUUUAUAACAUUAGCCCUCCAAGUUCUAGAAACUUUCACCAUUGUCAUGAAAAAGUUAUUCAAGAUUCACCAUGGCAUACAACAUAGUGGAAAUAGCAAUGGCCUUGGAGUUCUCAUGUGAACUUACUUGUUCACUUACCAACUGUGUUACCCAGAUGUAUAACUUUGCCUC